Hippocampus zosterae (dwarf seahorse) is the source of this 583-nucleotide long non-coding RNA. RefSeq lists it as uncharacterized. NCBI's taxonomy places the organism in Eukaryota, Metazoa, Chordata, Actinopteri, Syngnathiformes, Syngnathidae. The transcript is spliced from 3 exons. The record is from RefSeq and is a predicted model, not a curated record.
UGCGCUUUUGUGUGUGUUGUCUCAUGCUGUCAGGGGAACUCGUUUGGCGCAAAGAUUCCGUACAAGUGAAAGAUGAUUCACACCAGGAAGACAAAAAAAAGAAUUGAACCGCACCAGGAAAUGGGACGGAGUGAGAAUUCAUUGGCUAGAGUUUGAGAGUGAAGCAAACUCUCUACAUCAGCACUAUCAGCUCUCAUGACCCAAGGGCACGAGGCACCUGCCACUAGGGGGCCCCCAAACUUACACAACAUUCCAUUUGUUUUGUUUUUUUUGUUCGAUUUCUUUCCCAUGACUUGGCAACUUCAGGCUGUGGAUUGUUGUUAUUUCAAGUCAUAGUACCACUGGGAAAUUGAAGCCCCUGUGGGGAGAGAGAGAAAAUGGAACUGUGGUUGCUUUGGGCCCCUAACAACAAAAAAGACAAACCGAGUCACACUAGGUGAAAUAACUUUUGGGCGAAGAAUAAAGAAAAGAAAUAACACUUUCGAGUUGCUCCAUGUACAGCACUUUGUAUGCAGGAUGGCUGUUUGCAAGUGCUCUGUAAAUACAGGUGAGUUGAGUUGAAUUACAUUUUUAAAAAUUCCAG